GCCGAAGUGGCGGAAUUGGCAGACGCGCGUGGUUUAGGUCCACGUGCCCGUAAGGGUGUGCGGGUUCAAGUCCCGCCUUCGGCACCA
RNAcentral lists this transfer RNA (87 nucleotides) under Janibacter limosus. Its description in RNAcentral is "tRNA-Leu". It matches the Rfam family "tRNA". Rfam says of the family: Transfer RNA (tRNA) molecules are approximately 80 nucleotides in length. Their secondary structure includes four short double-helical elements and three loops (D, anti-codon, and T loops). Further hydrogen bonds mediate the characteristic L-shaped molecular structure. tRNAs have two regions of fundamental functional importance: the anti-codon, which is responsible for specific mRNA codon recognition, and the 3' end, to which the tRNAs corresponding amino acid is attached (by aminoacyl-tRNA synthetases). tRNAs cope with the degeneracy of the genetic code in two manners: having more than one tRNA (with a specific anti-codon) for a particular amino acid; and 'wobble' base-pairing, i.e. permitting non-standard base-pairing at the 3rd anti-codon position. The record is from RNAcentral. Lineage: Bacteria; Bacillati; Actinomycetota; Actinomycetes; Micrococcales; Intrasporangiaceae.